This is a small nuclear RNA of Callithrix jacchus (white-tufted-ear marmoset), 104 nucleotides long. NCBI's taxonomy places the organism in Eukaryota, Metazoa, Chordata, Mammalia, Primates, Cebidae. The record is from Ensembl.
GUGCUCACUUCUGGAGCACAUAUAUUAAAAUUAGAAUGAUUCAGAGAUUAGCAUAGCCCCUGUGCAAGAAUGACACACAAAUUCAUGAAGAAUUUCAUGUUUUU